This 73-nucleotide transfer RNA is filed under the name Capsulimonas corticalis. RNAcentral describes it as "tRNA-Lys". It matches the Rfam family "tRNA". From Rfam's summary of the family: Transfer RNA (tRNA) molecules are approximately 80 nucleotides in length. Lineage: Bacteria; Bacillati; Armatimonadota; Armatimonadia; Capsulimonadales; Capsulimonadaceae. The record is from RNAcentral.
GGGUCGGUAGCUCAGCGGUAGAGCACAUCACUUUUAAUGAUGGGGUCCUGGGUUCGAGACCCAGCCGACCCAC